AUUAUACGCCUGUGGGUGGCGGUAAUGUGUAACAUUGUGCGCUACAGCAGACAACUUGCAAGAGAAGAAGAAAAUCAGGAGGGCUGUUUGAAAAGAUGAACUGCGCGUAAUAUAAUAUUUAUAUCGCUUGAAAACUAUAUAUAUGAUGAUGCUUUAAUAUAUCAAGACGCACGAGAUUUUUAAUCAUUAUGAGCAAAGAACCUCAAGCCUGUUUCAGUUCAAAUAAUGGCUGGAGAACUUUCAUGUGGUUUGAGGGGCCAAUCCUUCUACCUGCAUGAUGUGAAGAGACAUCAUCAGCCGUCUGGGAGGGGUGAGAUAUAUCAUUUUUCAAUGAAGGACAAAACCGGAAUUGUAGUAAUUGUUGGCCUGUAUGCAAAGUGUUGUUAAAUGGUGCAUCUCAUCCUGUCUGUUCACUGUUUCCUAUAGAAAGUGGACAGUUUUCUCACCAAGGAUGUGAAUGUGAUUUUGUCGGGCGUUAAAGAACCUCAUAGUGCUUUGCAGGUGGAUGGUUCAUGUACUGCAGGGGGAAACAAAGUGGAACCCCCAGAACUUUGGAGAAGUAUCAGAGCAGUGUGCUGGCAAAUGCUUGUUUGUGGGGAGUCAAGGUCUACAAUGUAGAUGGUAUCCUUUCAUUUACCUGCUGUAGGGGGCACUCAACAAUAUCAUAUAUACGAGUCACAUGGGCUGAUUUUGGAGUUGCAUUUUGAAGUUUGACAGAAGUUUGAAUUUUGAAGUUUUUUUUUUUUUUUUAAGAAUUCAACCAUUUGUGUCAAAAUGGGGUUGGGAAAAGUAAAGACAAUUUCAGUUUUUAUAUGACUUUGCCAGUUGUUGUUUUUUUUCUUCUUUUUUUAGUUGUUUAAUAAGUGAAGCUCAGAAAAAAAC
Molecule: long non-coding RNA, 882 nt
Organism: Cyprinus carpio (common carp)
Lineage: Eukaryota; Metazoa; Chordata; Actinopteri; Cypriniformes; Cyprinidae
Source: Ensembl